CCAAAGGAAAAAAUAGCUCAACUAAAAAACACAAUCCAAAAUAAACUAGUAAAACAAAUAAAAAAUUACAACAAACAACAAAACCAAGUAUAAUUAUUAGAAAAGAAAAAUGAAGCUAUAAUAGUACUGUAAAGGAACAUUUGAAAAAAUGAAAAUUUAAUUUCAUCAAAGAAAGAAUUAAAACCUGUACCUUUUGUAUAAUGGUCUAACAAGAAAAAAAGUAAUUAAACUUUCACCCGAAACUAGGAGAUCUACUACUAUCCCGAUUAAGAACGUGCACCUUACUGUUUCAAAAGUAAGCAAAGAGAUAGCAAUAGCCAUAAAACGUGAAACGAGCCUAGAGAUAGCUGGUUGCCUGAAAACUAAGUAUUAGCUUAAACCUCUACAUUUGCCAAUAAGUCUAAACAUACACCAAAUGAAAAGAAGGUUAGACCAAAAGGGACAAACUUUUUAGUCUACUAGGAAAAAGCCUAAAACAACAGUAAAAGUCAAAAACCACCCAACAAAGACUAAAGCAAUGUAGGCCUAGAAACAGCCACCUUAAUAAAAGCGUCAUAGAUUAACUAAAACAAAACUAAUAAUUAAUGGUAAAAAAACUUUAACUUAUAAAAAAUAUCAGACUAUUAGAAUCAUAAUUCUAAAAAAAAAUGUUAAAAUUAGUACUCAAACAACUACUGCAGUUAUAAACUACUCUAACAAACCACUCAUUGGAAGAAAGAGAAUACUUAAAACUCAAGAAAAACAUUCUACCUACAGUACAAACCAACACAGGAAGUUAAAAAAUAAACCAAAGAAAUAGAAGGAACUCGGCAAAAAAAACUUCGCCUGUUUACCAAAAACAUCGCUCUUUGUAUAAACCAAAUAAAGAGUACUGCCUGCCCAGUGAUAAAAAUUCAACGGCCGCGGUAUAUUGACCGUGCAAAGGUAGCAUAAUCAUUUGUUCUUUAAUUGAGAACUAGAAUGAAAGGCAAGACGGAGUUUAACUGUCUCCUAUCUCACAGAAAAAAUUAUUAUUCUUGUGAAGAAACAAGAAUAAAUGUGUAAGACGAAAAGACCCUGUCGAGCUUAAAACUAACCGCACAAAACAAACAAACUAAUAAUAGAUAAUAAAAUUACUAUAAUAACAAAACCUUAUGGUGUGAUAACUUUUGGUUGGGGCAACCGCGAAGAAAAAAAACCCUUCGCCAAUAAACAAUAAAAAUAAACAAAUUUAAAAGCUUUAAAAUCUAAUAAAUGAUCCGACAACUUAGUUCGAUCAAGGAAAAAAGUUACCGCAGGGAUAACAGCGUCAUUCUCUCUGAGAGCUCGUAUUGACGAGAGAGUUUGCGACCUCGAUGUUGGACCGGGGCACCCCAGAGGUGCAGAAGCCUCUAAAGGUAGGUCUGUUCGACCUUUAAAGCCCUACGCGAUCUGAGUUCAGACCGACGUAAGUCAGGUCAGUUUCUAUCUACACACAAAAAAGAAGCUUUUCUAGUACGAAAGGAACCAAAAGCUAAGACCAAUUUUUCCAGAAAAGUCUUAAACUAAAACCUCUGAAAACAAAUAAAGAAAAUCUUA
RNAcentral lists this ribosomal RNA (1557 nucleotides) under Neogymnocrinus richeri. RNAcentral's name for it is "large subunit ribosomal RNA". It matches the Rfam family "Bacterial large subunit ribosomal RNA", at positions 210 to 2801 of the family's 2925-position model. Lineage: Eukaryota; Metazoa; Echinodermata; Crinoidea; Cyrtocrinida; Sclerocrinidae. The record is from RNAcentral.